GACAGAGGGGGCAAGCGUUGUUCGGAAGUACUGGGCGUAAAGGGCGCGCAGGCGGUCUUGUAAGUCCCGUGUGAAAGCCCCCGGCUCAACUGGGGAAUGGCACGGGAAACUGCGAGGCUUGAGAUCGGGAGAGGGAAGCGGAAUUCCGGGUGUAGCGGUGAAAUGCGUAGAUAUCCGGAGGAACACCGGUGGCGAAGGCGGCUUCCUGGACCGACACUGACGCUGCGGCUCGAAAGCUAGGGGAGCAAACGGG
RNAcentral lists this ribosomal RNA (253 nucleotides) under uncultured bacterium. RNAcentral's name for it is "partial 16S ribosomal RNA". It matches the Rfam family "Bacterial small subunit ribosomal RNA", at positions 524 to 776 of the family's 1533-position model. The record is from RNAcentral.